GAUGAACGCUGGCGGCGUGCCUAAUACAUGCAAGUCGAGCGAACAGACGAGAGUGCUUCCACUCUCUGACUUUCGCCGCGGGCGUGUGUGUAACACGGAUAUAAUCUAUCUAUAAGACUGAUAAAUCCUCGAGAAACCGGAGCUCACCCCGUAAUAUAUUUAACCUCGCAUUUAGCAAUAGUAAGACACUGUUGUUCUGUCUCUUAUAGAUAGACCCGCGGUGUAUUAGCUAGUUGGUGAGGUAACGGCUCACCAAGGCAACGAUACAUAGCCGACCUGAGAGGGUGAUCGGCCACACUGGGACUGAGACACGGCCCAGACUCCUACGGGAGGCAGCAGUAGGGAAUCUUCCGCAAUGGACGAAAGUCUGACGGAGCAAUGCCGCGUGAGUGAAGAAGGUUUUCGGAUCGUAAAACUCUGUUGUAAGGGAAGAACAAGUAUGUUAGUAACUGAGCGUACCUUGACGGUACCUUAUCAGAAAGCCACGGCUAACUACGUG
Molecule: ribosomal RNA, 499 nt
Filed under: uncultured bacterium
Lineage: Bacteria
Description: partial 16S ribosomal RNA
Rfam family: Bacterial small subunit ribosomal RNA
Source: RNAcentral